RNAcentral lists this ribosomal RNA (251 nucleotides) under uncultured bacterium. RNAcentral describes it as "partial 16S ribosomal RNA". It matches the Rfam family "Bacterial small subunit ribosomal RNA", at positions 524 to 776 of the family's 1533-position model. The record is from RNAcentral.
UACGUAGGGGGCAAGCGUUGUCCGGAAUCAUUGGGCGUAAAGAGCGUGUAGGCGGCCCGGUAAGCCCGCUGUGAAAGUCCAGGGCUCAACCCUGGAAUGCCGGUGGAUACUGUCGGACUAGAGUACGGAAGAGGCGAGUGGAAUUCCCGGUGUAGCGGUGAAAUGCGCAGAUAUCGGGAGGAACACCAAUUGCGAAGGCAGCUCGCUGGGCGUCACUGACGCUGAGACGCGAAACGUGGGGAGCAAACAGG